RNAcentral lists this ribosomal RNA (588 nucleotides) under Klebsiella pneumoniae. Its description in RNAcentral is "bacterial SSU rRNA". It matches the Rfam family "Bacterial small subunit ribosomal RNA", at positions 1 to 580 of the family's 1533-position model. The record is from RNAcentral. Lineage: Bacteria; Pseudomonadati; Pseudomonadota; Gammaproteobacteria; Enterobacterales; Enterobacteriaceae.
AAAUUGAAGAGUUUGAUCAUGGCUCAGAUUGAACGCUGGCGGCAGGCCUAACACAUGCAAGUCGAGCGGUAGCACAGAGAGCUUGCUCUCGGGUGACGAGCGGCGGACGGGUGAGUAAUGUCUGGGAAACUGCCUGAUGGAGGGGGAUAACUACUGGAAACGGUAGCUAAUACCGCAUAAUGUCGCAAGACCAAAGUGGGGGACCUUCGGGCCUCAUGCCAUCAGAUGUGCCCAGAUGGGAUUAGCUAGUAGGUGGGGUAACGGCUCACCUAGGCGACGAUCCCUAGCUGGUCUGAGAGGAUGACCAGCCACACUGGAACUGAGACACGGUCCAGACUCCUACGGGAGGCAGCAGUGGGGAAUAUUGCACAAUGGGCGCAAGCCUGAUGCAGCCAUGCCGCGUGUGUGAAGAAGGCCUUCGGGUUGUAAAGCACUUUCAGCGGGGAGGAAGGCGGUGAGGUUAAUAACCUCAUCGAUUGACGUUACCCGCAGAAGAAGCACCGGCUAACUCCGUGCCAGCAGCCGCGGUAAUACGGAGGGUGCAAGCGUUAAUCGGAAUUACUGGGCGUAAAGCGCACGCAGGCGGUC